GAGGUGACGAGCGGCGGACGGGUGAGUAAUGUCUGGGAAACUGCCUGAUGGAGGGGGAUAACUACUGGAAACGGUAGCUAAUACCGCAUAAUGUCGCAAGACCAAAGUGGGGGACCUUCGGGCCUCAUGCCAUCAGAUGUGCCCAGAUGGGAUUAGCUAGUAGGUGGGGUAACGGCUCACCUAGGCGACGAUCCCUAGCUGGUCUGAGAGGAUGACCAGCCACACUGGAACUGAGACACGGUCCAGACUCCUACGGGAGGCAGCAGUGGGGAAUAUUGCACAAUGGGCGCAAGCCUGAUGCAGCCAUGCCGCGUGUAUGAAGAAGGCCUUCGGGUUGUAAAGUACUUUCAGCGGGGAGGAAGGCGAUAAGGUUAAUAACCUUGUCGAUUGACGUUACCCGCAGAAGAAGCACCGGCUAACUCCGUGCCAGCAGCCGCGGUAAUACGGAGGGUGCAAGCGUUAAUCGGAAUUACUGGGCGUCAAGCGCAGGCAGGCGGUCUGUCAAGUCGGAUGUGAAAUCCCCGGGCUCAACCUGGGAACUGCAUUCGAAACUGGCAGGCUAGAGUCUUGUAGAGGGGGGUAGAAUGCAGGUGUAGCAGUGAAAUGCGUAGAGAUCUGGAGGAAUACCGGUGGCGAAGGCGGCCCCCUGGACAAAGACUGACGCUCAGGUGCGAAAGCGUGGGGAGCAAACAGGAUUAGAUACCUGGUAGUGCACGCCGUAAACGAUGUCGAUUUGGAGGUUGUGCCCUUGAGGCGUGGCUUCCGGAGCUAACGCGUUAAAUCGACCGCCUGGGGAGUACGGCCGCAAGGUUAAAACUCAAAUGAAUUGACGGGGGCCCGCACAAGCGGUGGAGCAUGUGGUUUAAUUCGAUGCAACGCGAAGAACCUUACCUGGUCUUGACAUCCACAGAACUUAGCAGAGAUGCUUUGGUGCCUUCGGGAACUGUGAGACAGGUGCUGCAUGGCUGUCGUCAGCUCGUGUUGUGAAAUGUUGGGUUAAGUCCCGCAACGAGCGCAACCCUUAUCCUUUGUUGCCAGCGGUUCGGCCGGGAACUCAAAGGAGACUGCCAGUGAUAAACUGGAGGAAGGUGGGGAUGACGUCAAGUCAUCAUGGCCCUUACGACCAGGGCUACACACGUGCUACAAUGGCAUAUACAAAGAGAAGCGACCUCGCGAGAGCAAGCGGACCUCAUAAAGUAUGUCGUAGUCCGGAUUGGAGUCUGCAACUCGACUCCAUGAAGUCGGAAUCGCUAGUAAUCGUAGAUCAGAAUGCUACGGUGAAUACGUUCCCGGGCCUUGUACACACCGCCCGUCACACCAUGGGAGUGGGAU
This 1332-nucleotide ribosomal RNA is filed under the name Klebsiella quasipneumoniae. Its description in RNAcentral is "bacterial SSU rRNA". It matches the Rfam family "Bacterial small subunit ribosomal RNA", at positions 85 to 1416 of the family's 1533-position model. The record is from RNAcentral. Lineage: Bacteria; Pseudomonadati; Pseudomonadota; Gammaproteobacteria; Enterobacterales; Enterobacteriaceae.